GAUGAAGAACGUAGCGAAAUGCGAUAGGUAAUGUGAAUUGCAGAAUUCAGUGAAUCAUCGAAUCUUUGAACGCACAUUGCGCCCUUUGGUAUUCCUUAGGGCAUGCCUGUUCGAGCGUCAUUUCUGCCCUCCAGCCCGGCUGGGUGUUGGGCGCUGUCCCCCCGGGGACACGCCCCAAAGGCAGUGGCGGCGCCGCGUCGGGUCCUCGAGCGUAUGGGGCUUUGUCACCCGCUCGGGACGGACUCGUCGGCGCUGGUCUUCCUCCAGGCGACCCUUCGGGGCUCGUCUUCCUUCGGUUGACCUCGGAUCAGGUAGGGAUACCCGCUGAACUUAAGCAUAUCAAUAAGCGGAGGA
RNAcentral lists this unclassified non-coding RNA (354 nucleotides) under soil metagenome. RNAcentral describes it as "partial contains 5.8S ribosomal RNA, internal transcribed spacer 2, and large subunit ribosomal RNA". The stretch from base 1 to 120 matches the Rfam family "5.8S ribosomal RNA", at positions 35 to 154 of the family's 154-position model. The record is from RNAcentral.